This 615-nucleotide ribosomal RNA is filed under the name Streptococcus sobrinus. RNAcentral's name for it is "bacterial SSU rRNA". It matches the Rfam family "Bacterial small subunit ribosomal RNA", at positions 376 to 982 of the family's 1533-position model. Lineage: Bacteria; Bacillati; Bacillota; Bacilli; Lactobacillales; Streptococcaceae. The record is from RNAcentral.
CGCAAGUCUGACCGAGCAACGCCGCGUGAGUGAAGACGGUUUUCGGAUCGUAAAGCUCUGUUGUAGGGGAAGAACGUGUGUAAGAGUGGAAAGCUUACACAGUGACGGUACCCUACCAGAAAGGGACGGCUAACUACGUGCCAGCAGCCGCGGUAAUACGUAGGUCCCGAGCGUUGUCCGGAUUUAUUGGGCGUAAAGGGAGCGCAGGCGGUUUAGUAAGUCUGAAGUUAAAGGCAUUGGCUCAACCAAUGUAUGCUUUGGAAACUGUUAGACUUGAGUGCAGAAGGGGAGAGUGGAAUUCCAUGUGUAGCGGUGAAAUGCGUAGAUAUAUGGAGGAACACCGGUGGCGAAAGCGGCUCUCUGGUCUGUCACUGACGCUGAGGCUCGAAAGCGUGGGUAGCGAACAGGAUUAGAUACCCUGGUAGUCCACGCCGUAAACGCUGAGUGCUAGGUGUUAGGUCCUUUCCGGGACUUAGUGCCGACGCUAACGCAUUAAGCACUCCGCCUGGUGAGUACGACCGCAAGGUUGAAACUCAAAGGAAUUGACGGGGGCCCGCACAAGCGGUGGAGCAUGUGGUUUAAUUCGAAGCAACGCGAAGAACCUUACCAGGUCUU